CAAUAGCGUAUAUUAAAGUUGUUGCAGUUAAAAAGCUCGUAGUUGGAUUUCUGGUGGGAGCGAUCGGUCUGGCGCUUAGCGCGAGUACUUGCAUCGUCUCCGGCCAUCCUUGGGGAGAGUCUGUCUGGCAUUAGGUUGUCGGGCAGAGGAUCCUCAUCGUUUGCUGUGAAAAAAUUAGAGUGUUCAAAGCAGGCUUAUGCCGUUGAAUAUAUUAGCAUGGAAUAAUAAGAUAGGACUUUGGUACUAUUUUGUUGGUUUGCGCACCAAAGUAAUGAUUAAUAGGGACAGUUGGGGGUAUUCGUAUUCCGUUGUCAGAGGUGAAAUUCUUGGAUUUACGGAAGACGAACUACUGCGAAAGCAUUUACCAAGGAUGUUUUCAUUAA
RNAcentral lists this ribosomal RNA (383 nucleotides) under uncultured eukaryote. RNAcentral's name for it is "partial 18S ribosomal RNA". It matches the Rfam family "Eukaryotic small subunit ribosomal RNA", at positions 592 to 976 of the family's 1831-position model. The record is from RNAcentral.